UGGGGGAUAUUACACAAUGGGGGAAACCCUGAUGCAGCGACGCCGCGUGGAGGAAGAAGGUUUUCGGAUUGUAAACUCCUGUCGUUAGGGACGAUAAUGACGGUACCUAACAAGAAAGCACCGGCUAACUACGUGCCAGCAGCCGCGGUAAAACGUAGGGUGCAAGCGUUGUCCGGAAUUACUGGGUGUAAAGGGAGCGCAGGCGGACCGGCAAGUUGGAAGUGAAAACUAUGGGCUUAACCCAUAAAUUGCUUUCAAAACUGCUGGCCUUGAGUAGUGCAGAGGUAGGUGGAAUUCCCGGUGUAGCGGUGGAAUGCGUAGAUAUCGGGAGGAACACCAGUGGCGAAGGC
RNAcentral lists this ribosomal RNA (350 nucleotides) under uncultured bacterium. Its description in RNAcentral is "bacterial SSU rRNA". It matches the Rfam family "Bacterial small subunit ribosomal RNA", at positions 355 to 722 of the family's 1533-position model. The record is from RNAcentral.